UAUAAUUUUUCAAUUUAGAAAAUUUUAGCGAUGAAUGCCUCGGCUCGGGUUA
This 52-nucleotide ribosomal RNA is filed under the name Hematodinium sp. FE51,6b. RNAcentral's name for it is "partial 5.8S ribosomal RNA". Lineage: Eukaryota; Dinophyceae; Syndiniales; Syndiniaceae. The record is from RNAcentral.